Molecule: ribosomal RNA, 465 nt
Filed under: uncultured bacterium
Lineage: Bacteria
Description: partial 16S ribosomal RNA
Rfam family: Bacterial small subunit ribosomal RNA
Source: RNAcentral
CUACGGGUGGCUGCAGUGAGGAAUUUUGCGCAAUGGGGGAAACCCUGACGCAGCAACGCCGCGUGAGUGAUGAAGGCCUUCGGGUCGUAAAACUCUGUCAAGUGGGAAGAACCUAUGUAAGGUUAAUACCCUUAUGUACUGACGGUACCACUGAAGGAAGCACCGGCUAGCUCCGUGCCAGCAGCCGCGGUAAUACGGAGGGUGCAAGCGUUAUUCGGAAUUAUUGGGCGUAAAGGGCGCGCAGGCGGUUUUGUAAGUCAGAUGUGAAAGCCCGGGGCUUAACCUCGGAAGUGCAUUUGAUACUGCAAGACUUGAGUAUGGGAGGGGGAAGUGGAAUUCCUGGUGUAGAGGUGAAAUUCGUAGAUAUCAGGAGGAACACCAGUGGCGAAGGCGACCUCCUGGACCAAUACUGACGCUGAGGCGCGAAGGCGUGGGGAGCAAACAGGAUUAGAUACCCGCGUAGUC